GACAGAGGGUGCAAACGUUGUUCGGAAUUACUGGGCGUAAAGCGCGUGUAGGCUGUUCGGAAAGUCGGAUGUGAAAGCCCUGGGCUUAACCCAGGAAGUGCAUUCGAAACUCCCGAACUCGAGUCCUGGAGAGGAAGGCGGAAUUCUCGGUGUAGAGGUGAAAUUCGUAGAUAUCAAGCGGAACACCGGUGGCGAAGGCGGCCUUCUGGACAGUGACUGACGCUGAGACGCGAAAGCGUGGGGAGCAAACAGG
This 253-nucleotide ribosomal RNA is filed under the name uncultured bacterium. RNAcentral describes it as "partial 16S ribosomal RNA". It matches the Rfam family "Bacterial small subunit ribosomal RNA", at positions 524 to 776 of the family's 1533-position model. The record is from RNAcentral.